GAGAUUCCUCCCUUGUGGAGUUUUUGCCUGUGAGCCUAGGUCUUCAGAGACAGGGUCCAAUGGCAAGCUGAUGUGGAGGACAACAGGGCACAAGAGAGCUGGUUGAACUUCCUUGGAGAACAAAAGCAGUCCUUUCUGAUGAGCAGAAAGGUGAGCAAGCGCAGGGAAAGGUGGAUGCCAUUUGAAUGAAAGCCUUCCCUCUUGCAUAGAGGUGUGUUUUCCCUAGUGCUAUGCAGAUCAUAACAACUACUCUGCUAUAUCUUCAACAUCUUCAUGACAAGAAAAUCAAUGUUUUGGUAUUUAUAUUUAAAUACAAAUAUAUCAUAAUUUUCAUUAUGCAUUUAUUGAUAAUGAGAAAGGAGGAUGAAUAUAGAACUGAGAGAUGAGAAGAGAAAUGUAACUAGGAUUUUCAGGGAUGCUAUCAGUGUAUUUUUAUACUUGAACAUUCCAGGAAGCCGAGCUAUGUUUGCUUUCAUGUUUUACUUUGCUUUGCCUAUGCAUAUCUUGUUUCUUAAAGGGAGCACUGAGAAAUAUGAAUUGUGUAUUUUUUGAAAAAGUAUU
Lagopus leucura (white-tailed ptarmigan) is the source of this 561-nucleotide long non-coding RNA. RefSeq lists it as uncharacterized. The transcript has 3 exons. NCBI's taxonomy places the organism in Eukaryota, Metazoa, Chordata, Aves, Galliformes, Phasianidae. The record is from RefSeq and is a predicted model, not a curated record.